GUGAGGAAUAUUGCGCAAUGGAGGCAACUCUGACGCAGCCAUGCCGCGUGCAGGAAGAAGGCGCUACGCGUUGUAAACUGCUUUUAACCGGGAAGAAACCCCAGGACGUGUCCUGGGUUGACGGUACCGGAGGAAUAAGCACCGGCUAACUUCGUGCCAGCAGCCGCGGUAAUACGAAGGGUGCAAGCGUUAUCCGGAUUCAUUGGGUUUAAAGGGUGCGUAGGCGGAGCUUUAAGUCAGUGGUGAAAUCCUGCAGCUUAACUGUAGACUUGCCAUUGAUACUGGCGCUCUUGAGUGCGCUUGAAGUGGGCGGAAUGUGCCGUGUAGCGGUGAAAUGCUUAGAUAUGGCACAGAACACCAAUUGCGAAGGCAGCUCACUAAGGCGAUACUGACGCUGAGGCACGAAAGCGUGGGGAUCGAACAGGAUUAGAUACCCGAGUAGUCC
This 445-nucleotide ribosomal RNA is filed under the name uncultured bacterium. RNAcentral's name for it is "partial 16S ribosomal RNA". It matches the Rfam family "Bacterial small subunit ribosomal RNA", at positions 354 to 796 of the family's 1533-position model. The record is from RNAcentral.